This 499-nucleotide ribosomal RNA is filed under the name Galdieria sp. CCMEE 5572. RNAcentral describes it as "partial 18S ribosomal RNA". Lineage: Eukaryota; Rhodophyta; Bangiophyceae; Galdieriales; Galdieriaceae. The record is from RNAcentral.
CUUUUCAGAGUAGGUAAAAAAAUACUCUUUGAAUGCAUCAGUGUAGCCGGCGUGCAGCCCAGGACAUCAAGGGCAUCACAGACCCUGUUAUUGCCUACAACUUCCAUCCGUGAAAAACGAAUAGUACCUCUAAGAAGUUUAUCCAUCUCCUUUCAAAGAAAAUAAAUAAAACUAGUUAGCAGGAAAAGGUCUCGUUCGUUAACGGAAUUAACCAGACAAAUCACUCCACCAACUAAGAACGGCCAUGCACCACCACCCAUUCAAUCAAGAAAGAGCUAUCAAUCUGUCAAUCAUAAAAAUGUCCGGACCUGGUAAGUUGCCCCGUGUUGAGUCAAAUUAAGCCGCAGGCUCCACUCCUGGUGGUGCCCUUCCGUCAAUUCCUUUGAGUUUCAGACUUGCGACCAUACUCCCCCCAGAACCCAAAAGCUUUGGUUUCCCGGAAAAAAAGGAUGUACGAUUAUAAAAUCCAAUACACCAUCUCUUAGAUGGCAUCGUUUAU